Molecule: ribosomal RNA, 442 nt
Filed under: uncultured bacterium
Lineage: Bacteria
Description: partial 16S ribosomal RNA
Rfam family: Bacterial small subunit ribosomal RNA
Source: RNAcentral
CCUACGGGAGGCAGCAGUGGGGAAUAUUGCGCAAUGGGCGAAAGCCUGACGCAGCGACGCCGCGUGAGGGAUGAAGGUCUUCGGAUCGUAAACUUCUUUUGUCAGGGAAGAGUAGAAGACGGUACCUGACGAAUAAGCCACGGCUAACUACGUGCCAGCAGCCGCGGUAAUACGUAGGUGGCAAGCGUUGUCCGGAUUUACUGGGUGUAAAGGGCGUGUAGCCGGGUUGACAAGUCAGAUGUGAAAUCCUGCGGCUUAACCGCAGAACUGCAUUUGAAACUGUUGAUCUUGAGUACUGGAGAGGCAGAUGGAAUUCCUAGUGUAGCGGUGAAAUGCGUAGAUAUUAGGAGGAACACCAGUGGCGAAGGCGGUCUGCUGGACAGCAACUGACGGUGAGGCGCGAAAGCGUGGGGAGCAAACAGGAUUAGAUACCCGGGUAGUC